This 440-nucleotide ribosomal RNA is filed under the name uncultured bacterium. RNAcentral describes it as "partial 16S ribosomal RNA". It matches the Rfam family "Bacterial small subunit ribosomal RNA", at positions 338 to 795 of the family's 1533-position model. The record is from RNAcentral.
CCUACGGGGGGCAGCAGUGGGGAAUAUUGCACAAUGGGGGGAACCCUGAUGCAGCGACGCCGCGUGGGUGAAGAAGCGCCUCGGCGCGUAAAGCCCUGUCAGCAGGGAAGAAAAUGACGGUACCUGAAGAAGAAGCCCCGGCUAACUACGUGCCAGCAGCCGCGGUAAUACGGAGGGGGCAAGCGUUAUCCGGAUUUACUGGGUGUAAAGGGGGCGUAGGCGGGGUUGCAAGCCAGGAGUGAAAGCCUGGGGCCCAACCCUGGGACUGCAGUUGAAACUGGGAGGCUGGAGUGCAGGAGGGGCAGGCGGAAUUCCUGGUGUAGCGGUGAAAUGCGUAGAUAUCAGGAGGAACACCGGUGGCGAAGGCGGCCUGCUGGACUGCAACUGACGUUGAGGCGCGAAAGCGUGGGGAGCAAACAGGAUUAGAUACCCUUGUAGUC